UACCUGCGGAAGGAUCAUUG
RNAcentral lists this ribosomal RNA (20 nucleotides) under Oxalis corymbosa. RNAcentral's name for it is "partial 18S ribosomal RNA". The record is from RNAcentral. Lineage: Eukaryota; Viridiplantae; Streptophyta; Magnoliopsida; Oxalidales; Oxalidaceae.